This 66-nucleotide transfer RNA is filed under the name Deronectes angusi. RNAcentral describes it as "tRNA-Phe". Lineage: Eukaryota; Metazoa; Arthropoda; Insecta; Coleoptera; Dytiscidae. The record is from RNAcentral.
AUUUAAAUAGCUUAAUUAGAGCAUAAUAUUGAAGAUAUUAAGGUGAUUAGAUAAAAUCUUUAGAUA